RNAcentral lists this ribosomal RNA (407 nucleotides) under uncultured bacterium. Its description in RNAcentral is "bacterial SSU rRNA". It matches the Rfam family "Bacterial small subunit ribosomal RNA", at positions 355 to 774 of the family's 1533-position model. The record is from RNAcentral.
UGGGGAAUAUUGCACAAUGGGCGCAAGCCUGAUGCAGCAACGCCGCGUGAGGGACGACGGCCUUCGGGUUGUAAACCUCUUUUGGCAGGGAAGAAGCGAAAGUGACGGUACCUGCAGAAAAAGCACCGGCUAACUACGUGCCAGCAGCCGCGGUGAUACGUAGGGUGCAAGCGUUGUCCGGACUUAUUGGGCGUAAAGAGCUCGUAGGCGGUGUGUCGCGUCUGCUGUGAAAACCCGAGGCUCAACCUCGGGCCUGCAGUGGGUACGGGCAAACUAGGGUGCGGUAGGGGAGAUUGGAAUUCCUGGUGAAGCGGUGGAAUGCGCAGAUAUCAGGAGGAACACCGAUGGCGAAGGCAGAUCUCUGGGCCGUAACUGACGCUGAGGAGCGAAAGCAUGGGGAGCGAACA